CGGACGGGUGAGUAACGCGUGAGAAUCUGCCCUCAGGAGGGGGAUAACGGCUGGAAACGGCCGCUAAUACCCCAUAUGCCGCGAGGUGAAAUGAAUUUCGCCCGAGGAUGAGCUCGCGUCUGAUUAGCUAGUUGGUGGGGUAAGAGCCUACCAAGGCAUCGAUCAGUAGCUGGUCUGAGAGGAUGAUCAGCCACACUGGGACUGGGACACGGCCCAGACUCCUACGGGAGGCAGCAGUGGGAAAUUUUCCGCAAUGGGCGAAAGCCUGACGGAGCAACGCCGCGUGAGGGAUGAAGGCCUCUGGGCUGUAAACCUCUUUUAUCAAGGAAGAAGAUCUGACGGUACUUGAUGAAUAAGCCACGGCUAAUUCCGUGCCAGCAGCCGCGGUAAUACGGGAGUGGCAAGCGUUAUCCGGAAUUAUUGGGCGUAAAGCGUCCGCAGGCGGUCUUGUAAGUCUGUCGUUAAAGCGUGGAGCUUAACUCCAUUUCAGCGAUGGAAACUGCAAGACUAGAGUGUGGUAGGGGCAGAGGGAAUUCCCGGUGUAGCGGUGAAAUGCGUAGAUAUCGGGAAGAACACCAGUGGCGAAGGCGCUCUGCUGGGCCAUAACUGACGCUCAUGGACGAAAGCCAGGGGAGCGAAAGGGAUUAGAUACCCCUGUAGUC
Molecule: ribosomal RNA, 662 nt
Filed under: uncultured Cyanobacterium sp.
Lineage: Bacteria; Bacillati; Cyanobacteriota; Cyanophyceae; Chroococcales; Geminocystaceae
Description: bacterial SSU rRNA
Rfam family: Bacterial small subunit ribosomal RNA
Source: RNAcentral